This 402-nucleotide ribosomal RNA is filed under the name uncultured bacterium. RNAcentral describes it as "bacterial SSU rRNA". It matches the Rfam family "Bacterial small subunit ribosomal RNA", at positions 355 to 773 of the family's 1533-position model. The record is from RNAcentral.
UAGGGAAUAUUGCAAAAUGGGCGAAAGCCCGAUGCAGCAACGCCGCGUGGGCGAUGAAGGCCUUCGGGUCGUAAAGCCCUUUUUGAGGGGAUGAGGAAGGACAGUACCCUCAGAAUAAGCCUCGGCUAACUACGUGCCAGCAGCCGCGGUAAAACGUAGGAGGCGAGCGUUAUCCGGAUUUACUGGGCGUAAAGCGCGUGCAGGCGGAUUGGAGAGUUGGAUGUGAAAGCUCCCGGCUUAACUGGGAGAGGUCGUUCAAUACUUCCAGUCUUGAGUGCAGUAGAGGGAAGUGGAAUUCCGGGUGUAGUGGUGAAAUGCGUAGAUAUCCGGAGGAACACCAGUGGCGAAAGCGGCUUCCUGGACUGUAACUGACGCUCAGACGCGAAAGCUAGGGUAGCAAAC